UGGUUUCUUGAGGAAUUUGGGAGAUGGGUUUUUGUUUUCUUGCAGAGAAAAAAUAGAAAUGGAAGAUGAUUAUGAUGAUGAAGAUGAGAAAAUGGGGUUGGGUUUGAGGGAUUCUAUUGCAGAAACAUAGUACGAAAUGGAGUUUGGUGAGUGGUUUCUUGAGGGGUUUGGGAGAUGGGUUUUGAUUUUCUUGGAGAUAAAAACAGAAAUGGAAGAUGAUUACGAUGAUUAUGAUGAUGAUGAAGAAGGU
This 250-nucleotide long non-coding RNA is filed under the name Panax ginseng (ginseng). RNAcentral's name for it is "long non-coding RNA (PGIN_LNC014440)". The record is from RNAcentral. Lineage: Eukaryota; Viridiplantae; Streptophyta; Magnoliopsida; Apiales; Araliaceae.